RNAcentral lists this ribosomal RNA (253 nucleotides) under uncultured bacterium. Its description in RNAcentral is "partial 16S ribosomal RNA". It matches the Rfam family "Bacterial small subunit ribosomal RNA", at positions 524 to 776 of the family's 1533-position model. The record is from RNAcentral.
UACGUAGGGGGCAAGCGUUGUCCGGAAUUAUUGGGCGUAAAGGGCGUGUAGGCGGCCAGACAGGUCCGUUGUGAAAACUCGAGGCUCAACCUCGAGAUGUCGAUGGAAACCGUCUGGCUAGAGUCCGGAAGAGGAGUGUGGAAUUCCUGGUGUAGCGGUGAAAUGCGCAGAUAUCAGGAAGAACACCUAUGGCGAAGGCAGCACUCUGGGACGGUACUGACGCUGAGACGCGAAAGCGUGGGGAGCGAACAGG